This is a long non-coding RNA of Bubalus bubalis (water buffalo), 356 nucleotides long. RefSeq lists it as uncharacterized. The record is from RefSeq and is a predicted model, not a curated record. The transcript is spliced from 3 exons. Lineage: Eukaryota; Metazoa; Chordata; Mammalia; Artiodactyla; Bovidae.
GGAAGUGCUGCCUAUGUGAAAAGCCCACACUCCAGGAAUGCCCAGGUUGCUGUGUCUAAACAGAAAGGAAAAAAGAUAUUGUAGCAUACGUGUCCACCCACCACCUUCUUACAAAGAUUUUACUAAAGAAAACUUCUUCUGCCAGUCAUUCUGGCCCCCUAUCUUCCACUUUCAAUCAAGCAACUCGGAGGUUUCUAGGAAGCAUGAAAGACAAAGAUGAGCGCUUGGAUGAUGUCUGAAAAGCAGAGAAUCCAUGGGCUCCAGAGAAGAGGGUGGUGAAGCCAGGGCAGAAAAAGCAAGGAGCUAAGUUUUCUCCAGAGUCAAGACUAAAAGGCAGCCUCAGUGGAGCCCAUAAG